GGCUGCCGAGGGUGUGAGUGGAAGUGAUCUAGAGAAGAGAAAGGAAGUGGAAAGACAGAAGAAGAAUAUGUUGAAGAGUUUAAAUAUGUUUGUGUCGGAUACUAGAUUGUGUGUCCGAAACCUGCCUGUAAGUUGGGAUGAUAAGAAAUUGCGGAAGCUAUUUUUGGAGAAUGCUCC
Eurytemora carolleeae is the source of this 177-nucleotide long non-coding RNA. RefSeq lists it as uncharacterized. The record is from RefSeq and is a predicted model, not a curated record. The transcript is spliced from 2 exons. Lineage: Eukaryota; Metazoa; Arthropoda; Copepoda; Calanoida; Temoridae.